AUUAUGUAUAUAUUAUUAUAUUGAUUCUGGGAAAAAUUAUACAUGUUUUACAGCGAGGGGUUAGAUAUGUUGAUAAAGAAAAUGAUUUUGUAAAACAUUUGUUUUUGCCCACUCACGUUUUCUGUUUUGCGCCCCUCCAGGUUUUAAGUAAACUUGUUGUUGGUGGCUAGAGGUCGUCGGUAGUUCUGACUUAUUUAUAUAAUAGUAGAACAUUCCUGGUUCUGUAUAACUAGUACUUGUCCUACUAGACUGCACCUAGACUUGAUGCUCUGAUUAGGAGUGUUUACUGUUGUAACUAACUUCUAUCACUUUCUGUUUAGUAGUGCACUCUAGUAAUAUGAUUUUUAAUUAUUAGUAUAUUUACUAUCUUUAUCGCUUUCGCACUGUGCACAUGGCUACGUCACUCUCACGUGACGGCCAGCAUGCCUUGACCUCGGUCGGGGUGUGUCAUUAUUCCUUUUCAACUUUUGAUCAAGGUUCUCAGGUUUUAAUAAACGUCAUUAAUUAUUUCAAUAGUAAAAUAUUUUUUACUUCGAAAUAUAUUCAUUUCAUAUUAGAAAUGUUACAUUUGAUAUAUUUAUAUUUAUAUGGUAUUAAAUAUUCAACAAAUGGCUCUACCAAACAAUCACAUUAAACAUAUAACUGAUUUACAUACAUGUCAAUUUAUAGAAGUGGGUUCAACUUUACAACUUUUACAUGCACAACUAUAUAUUAUAGGCCAUGACAAAUAAAAGAUUGGGACCAUGAAGAUAAAUCAAAGUACAUACCACAAUGUUCUCAUCUUGCAAUACACACAACAUUCCAAUAACAGUAGCUGAUAAGCAACGCCUUGUCUUUAUAUGAUUUAUAAUUGCCUUUUCUUCUAAUCUUUUGAUUUUUGUUACUCUAACAUAUGAUUUAUCAUUACCUUUUUGCUUUUGCUACUUUACAAGUGGCUCACACCACACUUGAUAAGUUAUCUGAUCACAUUUGAUAGAAAAAAUGAAACAUUGUUUGGGUUUUUUUUACAGCGGGCUCAAACCUCGGGGUGUUGUUACGCAAUUAGCUCAUAGGAUUAAGAUGAAGAUCACACGGUGUGUCACUCAAACAUCGAACAUAUUUUGAUCUGGUAUUCUGGUUGACAUUUUUUAUGGGGAUUGGUUGUAGGAGAAACCAUAGUCAAUGUUCUAACAGAUGCUAGGCAUUAGUCGAACG
This 1194-nucleotide long non-coding RNA is filed under the name Malus domestica (apple). RNAcentral describes it as "long non-coding RNA (MDOM_LNC005407)". The record is from RNAcentral. Lineage: Eukaryota; Viridiplantae; Streptophyta; Magnoliopsida; Rosales; Rosaceae.